RNAcentral lists this small RNA (368 nucleotides) under Gemmatimonadota bacterium. Its description in RNAcentral is "transfer-messenger RNA". It matches the Rfam family "transfer-messenger RNA". Rfam says of the family: Bacterial tmRNA, also known as 10Sa RNA or SsrA, is named for its dual tRNA and mRNA-like properties. Its role is to liberate the mRNA from a stalled ribosome. Lineage: Bacteria; Pseudomonadati; Gemmatimonadota. The record is from RNAcentral.
GGGGGUGUCAUGGUUUCGACGGGUAUGGUGAAGACCUGAGUGCAUGCCGAGGUUUCAGACACCUCGUAAAUCCUCUGAAAAACCAAGUACCUGCAAACGAUAACUUUGCAUUGGCGGCCUAAGGAACCUGGUUCCUUGCAGGCCCCCGCUUGUUGAUCAGACCUGCCUGAGCCGGGUCGACAGGUGUCGCAAAUCCAGGCUGGCUUGUUCAAGCGCCGCGGUAGAGCAAGCGAGAUUGGCGUGGCUGGUUCGUGAUGGGCCGUCUGCUGGCCGUUGAUCGGACGAGGAGAAAGAACAGCAGAACAAGCAUGUAGAGCUUGGGUGGGAUCUGUAUUCGGACGCGGGUUCGACUCCCGCCACCUCCACUC